AUUCCUAAGGCCAUAUAAAAUAAAUUCCUUGAUUCUCAUCACCGCCCGACGAUAUUUUGGUUUCCGCGUUGAUAUAUUUUUGUAUUUUGUUAUAAAAUAUAAAUUUACCGCCCGACCGAGCAUCUUCACAUAUUUAGUUUUUUUUAUAUUUUAUAUUGGAAUUUUUGCGAUAUAAAAUUGUUUUAUCGUUAAUAUUGCAACAUGUUAAGG
Paramuricea clavata is the source of this 210-nucleotide non-coding RNA. Lineage: Eukaryota; Metazoa; Cnidaria; Anthozoa; Malacalcyonacea; Plexauridae. The record is from the annotation of a GenBank genome assembly.